GUACACUCCUACGGGAGGCAGCAGUGGGGAAUUUUGGACAAUGGGCGAAAGCCUGAUCCAGCAAUGCCGCGUGAGUGAAGAAGGCCUUCGGGUUGUAAAGCUCUUUUGUCAGGGAAGAAACGGUGAGAGCUAAUAUCUUUUGCUAAUGACGGUACCUGAAGAAUAAGCACCGGCUAACUACGUGCCAGCAGCCGCGGUAAUACGUAGGGUGCAAGCGUUAAUCGGAAUUACUGGGCGUAAAGCGUGCGCAGGCGGUUUUGUAAGUCUGAUGUGAAAUCCCCGGGCUCAACCUGGGAAUUGCAUUGGAGACUGCAAGGCUAGAAUCUGGCAGAGGGGGGUAGAAUUCCACGUGUAGCAGUGAAAUGCGUAGAUAUGUGGAGGAACACCGAUGGCGAAGGCAGCCCCCUGGGUCAAGAUUGACGCUCAUGCACGAAAGCGUGGGGAGCAAACAGGAUUAGAAACCCGUGUAGUCC
This 473-nucleotide ribosomal RNA is filed under the name uncultured organism. Its description in RNAcentral is "partial 16S ribosomal RNA". It matches the Rfam family "Bacterial small subunit ribosomal RNA", at positions 331 to 796 of the family's 1533-position model. The record is from RNAcentral.